UCUUUUUUCUAUCUCCAACUGGGCUCAGAGGUAGAUGAAAUGCUCUUGAAAGAGGAGAUAGGAGGAGUGAAGAAAUAUAUUAAAGUUCCACAGACUGAUGAAGUAUUUCAAUUUGAGAAGUUCCUUCAAAAGGAACAGAUAAGUUUAGUCUGCAGCCAGACAGUUUCAGUGAUGGCCAGCUCUCGGUCACUGAUGUGUCAAGAACAGAGGUGGAUGGAGAUGUCUUUGAUGAACUUGUCAAGUCAGGAUGUCUUGACCUUCAAGGUCCCUUUACCAGUAAUGGAUCUGGAUGUUCAGCUGGUCUCAGAUCAAGCAUCCUCCUCUGUACUGACUCCACGAUCCCCAGCUUCAUCCCAUUCAUCAGAUUCCACAAUUGUCCUUGAGUCCACAAGAAAGAGGAGGAACCCAACAGGGUUAAUGGACCGGAAUGAAGCAAGACAGAAAGUUGAUUGUGUUCUGAGGGCCAAUCCAAAGGGUGAGGAAAUCUUCAAGGAUUAUGAAAAGACCAAAACACUAACAGAUGCCACACGUAACAGAUGAUGCACAUCCUGGUUGCAGACAUGUUAGAGCUACAUGGGUAAGAAUUGGAGGUCACUUCCCUACCAUUGUCAUCAGAACAGAUUCAUGUGGUGCAGCUAAAGAAUGCUAUUCUGUGUUGGUGGAAAAGGGGCAUUUAUUCUUUAACUUCUUGCAAAACAUAAACGCUUGCAAAGUAAACUGAUUUAUUUUGAAAGGAGGAUUCCCUUGUCAAGUGUGAGGACCAAUUAUGCACUGGGAAUUGUGGCACUUUUUCCACACCUCCAAGAUUCUUUCUCCAAGCAUGGAUAUGGAAGUACUUGUAUUCUGUCUGAAAACCCAAACCAGUG
Ictalurus punctatus (channel catfish) is the source of this 866-nucleotide long non-coding RNA. Lineage: Eukaryota; Metazoa; Chordata; Actinopteri; Siluriformes; Ictaluridae. The record is from Ensembl.